RNAcentral lists this transfer RNA (88 nucleotides) under Parenemella sanctibonifatiensis. RNAcentral's name for it is "Propionibacteriaceae bacterium NML 150081 tRNA-Leu". It matches the Rfam family "tRNA". From Rfam's summary of the family: Transfer RNA (tRNA) molecules are approximately 80 nucleotides in length. Lineage: Bacteria; Bacillati; Actinomycetota; Actinomycetes; Propionibacteriales; Propionibacteriaceae. The record is from RNAcentral.
GCCGGGGUGGCGGAAUGGUAGACGCGGACGGCUCAAACCCGUCUGUCACGAGAGUGAUGUAGGGGUUCGACUCCCCUCCCCGGCACAA